CACCUCUAGCAUAACAAGUAUUAGAGGCAUUGCCUGCCCAGUGACUGUAGUUAAACGGCCGCGGUAUCCUGACCGUGCAAAGGUAGCAUAAUCACUUGUUCCUUAAUUAGGGACUUGAAUGAAUGGCUAAACGAGGGUCCAACUGUCUCUUAUUUUCGAUCAGUGAAAUUGACCUUCCAGUGAAGAGGCUGGAAUCCUAAAAUAAGACGAGAAGACCCUAUGGAGCUUAAAUUAAUAAACUUAUAUGAAUAUCUUCCAUAAACCUAAUGGAAUAAAAACAGAAAUAAUAAGCUUAAAAUUUUGGUUGGGGUGACCUCGGAGAACAGAAAAUCCUCCGAACGAUUAUAACAUAGACCAACAAGUCAAAGUAAACCAACUUUCCAAUUGACCCAAAAAUUUGAUCAACGGACCAAGUUACCCUAGGGAUAACAGCGCAAUCCUAUUUAAGAGUCCAUAUCGACAAUAGGGUUUACGACCUCGAUGUUGGAUCAGGACAUCCCAAUGGUGCAGAAGCUAUUAAUGGUUCGUUUGUUCAACG
This 538-nucleotide ribosomal RNA is filed under the name Praomys rostratus (West African Praomys). Its description in RNAcentral is "partial 16S ribosomal RNA". It matches the Rfam family "Bacterial large subunit ribosomal RNA", at positions 1816 to 2586 of the family's 2925-position model. The record is from RNAcentral. Lineage: Eukaryota; Metazoa; Chordata; Mammalia; Rodentia; Muridae.